AGUGAACGCUGGCGGUAGGCCUAACACAUGCAAGUCGAACGGCAGCACAGUAAGAGCUUGCUCUUACGGGUGGCGAGUGGCGGACGGGUGAGGCAUACAUCGGAAUCUACUUUUUCGUGGGGGAUAACGUAGGGAAACUUACGCUAAUACCGCAUACGACCUACGGGUGAAAGCAGGGGAUCUUCGGACCUUGCGCGAUUGAAUGAGCCGAUGUCGGAUUAGCUAGUUGGCGAGGUAAAGGCCCACCAAGGCGACGAUCCGUAGCUGGUCUGAGAGGAUGAUCAGCCACACUGGAACUGAGACACGGUCCAGACUCCUACGGGAGGCAGCAGUGGGGAAUAUUGGACAAUGGGCGCAAGCCUGAUCCAGCCAUGCCGCGUGGGUGAAGAAGGCCUUCGGGUUGUAAAGCCCUUUUGUUGGGAAAGAAAAGCAGCAGGUUAAUCCCCCGCUGUUCUGACGGUACCCAAUGAAUAAGCACCGGCUAACUUCGUG
Molecule: ribosomal RNA, 492 nt
Filed under: uncultured bacterium
Lineage: Bacteria
Description: partial 16S ribosomal RNA
Rfam family: Bacterial small subunit ribosomal RNA
Source: RNAcentral